Long non-coding RNA from Serinus canaria (Common canary), 1941 nucleotides. Lineage: Eukaryota; Metazoa; Chordata; Aves; Passeriformes; Fringillidae. The record is from Ensembl.
UUCCUGUUCUGCCGGAUUCGGAGCGAGGACUUUGAGCUCCAAAAUCCCGGCCUGGGCUGCGCCCGGCUCACGCCACAGCCGCUCCCGGUGACACCAGCAGGGAACGAUCCCCGCGCCUCUGACCACCGGCAACUCGCUCGGGGGGCUGGAACUGCUGGGCCAGGGGGGACCCGAUCCCUUCUGACCCCUCUUGGGCUCGCCGGAGUGCGAGGGACGCUCUAAAGGAAACCCCGAGGUCUCUGCUAAAUCCCAUCAGGUGGGCCCCGAGUUCUGUAGCCCAAGCAGGCUGUGCCUGGCCGCAGGUGAGGUUUGUCCUGCUCCUGAUUUUCCAGCUCCGUGUCCUUCCCAUUGCUCGCAGGCAGCCUGGAACCGGGCUGGAGGUGCAGCGACGUUGCCACGUCCCUUCCGUCCCUGCCCACCGGCCCCACGGGGGGGGUUCGCCUCCUCCCCCUCACCUGGGGAGCCGCUCCCUGCCCGGAUUUUCCUGCCCGGAAUUUUCCUGCCCGGAGUUUUCCGCCUGCCCCGCGCGGGGCCGGGGCUCUGACGCAGCGCUCAGGAAUCCUCGGGCAGCUGGAGCCACAUCUGGGCUUGUCCCGGCCACAUCUGGGCUUGUCCCGGGCACGGAGCGGCCCAGUCCGGUAUGUGGGGAGGGGGGAUGGCCCGAGCCAGAACAGGAUCCCACUCUAGAACAGGAUCCCCAUUCAGUCUCACACUGGGCUGCUGGGUGCCCAUGGGAUUGGGAUGGUGUCCCAUGGGAUUGGGAUCAUCCUGUCCCAUGGGAAUGGGAUCGUUGUGCCCCACGGGGCUGGGAUGGUGUCCCACGGAUGGAUCUCCAUGCUCUGGCACGGCCCGGGGAUCUCAGCCCCGGGAUUUGCCCCAUUCCCCGGUGGGAGCCGGGCCAGCACCCCGGGAGCGGGCGGGAGGCGUGACCCCAAUCCCGGCCCUGCCCUGCCGGGGUUUGACAGGAGCGGGAAGGGAGAGCGGGGCUGGCGUGGAUGGGAUUGACGGGAUUUAUGGGAUUUACGUGAUUUAUGGCGCUGCUGCUCAGCAGACGAGAUCCACCCCCUGCCUUUUCUUGACGCCGUUUCCUGGCAGCUCCCUCGGUGUCUGUGCUGGGCUGAGCGGCUCCCACAGCCCCCGAGAGCAGGGGCUGGAAUCCGAUACUGUGGGAGCUGCGAGGUGAAGGGAGGAAGAAGAGGAGAGGGAGAGGAGAGAAGGGGAGGAAGAGAGAGAAGGAGGAAAAGGAGAAAGGAUAAGAAAGAAGGAGGAGGAGGAGAAGAAAGAAGGAGGAGGAGGAGGAGGAAAGAAAGAAAGAAAGGAGGAGGAGAAGGGAGGGAGAAGAGAGAGGGGGAGGAGGAGGAGAUGAAGGAAAAGGAGGAGGAAGAGAAGGAGAAGAAAGAAGAGGAGAAGGAGAGGGGAGAAGGAGGAGGAAGAAGAGAAGGAGGAGAAGAAAGAAGAGGAGAGGAAGAGGGAGGAGGAUGAGAAUGAAGAGAAGAGGAGGGAGAAAUAGAAGUAGAAACAGGAGGACAAGGAGAAGGAGAGGAAGGAGAAAACGAAUUCACGAGAGCACAGAGAGGGUUUAGCAGGAUUCCAGGAGGGAAAAGGCCCAGGAAAACGGUGAUGAUUCAUUUUCAGCCAGCUCGGUGUUUCUAUAGCAAACCACAAACAGGAGGGAUCUGCUCCAGCUGGGCCAGCAGCUGGAGCUCCCAGGAAUCCUCCAGGCUGGGGGCUGGAAUCCUCCUGAGCUCCGGGCUGGGAGCUGGAAUCCUCCUGAGCUCCGGGCUGGGAGCUGGAAUCCUCCUGAGCUCUGGGCUGGGAGCUGGAAUCCUCCUGAGCUCUGGGCUGGGAGCUGGAAUUCUCCUGAGCUCUGGGCUGGGAGCUCAGCAGUUCCACCACUGUGGGGGCGUCGGGGGGAAAGAGCCCCGUGGUGCCCCUGGGCUG